UUCCUACGGGCGGCAGCAGUGAGGAAUAUUGCGCAAUGGGGGCAACCCUGACGCAGCAACGCCGCGUGAGUGAGGAAGGUUUUCGGACCGUAAAGCUCUGUCGAGCGGGAAGAAAUGCAUGGUGGCUAAUAUCCAUCAUGCUUGACGGUACCGCUAAAGGAAGCACCGGCUAACUCCGUGCCAGCAGCCGCGGUAAUACGGGGGGUGCAAGCGUUGUUCGGAAUUAUUGGGCGUAAAGAGCGUGUAGGCGGCUGGAUAAGUCAGAUGUGAAAUCCCUGGGCUUAACCCAGGACGUGCAUUUGAAACUGUCCAGCUUGAGUAAGGGAGAGGAAAGUGGAAUUCCUGGUGUAGAGGUGAAAUUCGUAGAUAUCAGGAGGAACACCGGUGGCGAAGGCGACUUUCUGGCCCUAUACUGACGCUGAGACGCGAGAGCGUGGGUAGCAAACAGGAUUAGAUACCCCGGUAGUC
RNAcentral lists this ribosomal RNA (468 nucleotides) under uncultured Syntrophus sp. RNAcentral describes it as "bacterial SSU rRNA". It matches the Rfam family "Bacterial small subunit ribosomal RNA", at positions 336 to 795 of the family's 1533-position model. Lineage: Bacteria; Pseudomonadati; Thermodesulfobacteriota; Syntrophia; Syntrophales; Syntrophaceae. The record is from RNAcentral.